UGGGUUUUUAGGGUAGCAGAGUUGGU
This 26-nucleotide non-coding RNA is filed under the name Mus musculus (house mouse). Lineage: Eukaryota; Metazoa; Chordata; Mammalia; Rodentia; Muridae. The record is from RNAcentral.